UAGGGAAUCUUCGGCAAUGGACGGAAGUCUGACCGAGCAACGCCGCGUGAGUGAAGAAGGUUUUCGGAUCGUAAAGCUCUGUUGUAAGAGAAGAACGAGUGUGAGAGUGGAAAGUUCACACUGUGACGGUAUCUUACCAGAAAGGGACGGCUAACUACGUGCCAGCAGCCGCGGUAAUACGUAGGUCCCGAGCGUUGUCCGGAUUUAUUGGGCGUAAAGCGAGCGCAGGCGGUUAGAUAAGUCUGAAGUUAAAGGCUGUGGCUUAACCAUAGUACGCUUUGGAAACUGUUUAACUUGAGUGCAAGAGGGGAGAGUGGAACUCCAUGUGUAGCGGUGGAAUGCGUAGAUAUAUGGAAGAACACCAGUGGCGAAGGCGGCUACCUGGUCUGCAACUGACGCUGAGACUCGAAAGCAUGGGUAGCGAACAGGAUUAGAUACCCUGGUAGUCCAUGCCGUAAACGAUGAGUGCUAGGUGUUGGAGGGUUUCCGCCCUUCAGUGCCGGAGCUAACGCAUUAAGNNCUCCGCCUGGGGAGUACGACCGCAAGGUUG
This 550-nucleotide ribosomal RNA is filed under the name uncultured bacterium. RNAcentral's name for it is "bacterial SSU rRNA". It matches the Rfam family "Bacterial small subunit ribosomal RNA", at positions 355 to 896 of the family's 1533-position model. The record is from RNAcentral.